UGAGCUCAAAUUUAAAAUCUGGCGGCUUUGUCGUCCGAGUUGUAAUCUGGAGAAGCGUUUUCCGCGUCGGACCGUGUACAAGUCUCUUGGAACAGAGCGUCAUAGAGGGUGAGAAUCCCGUCCAUGACACGGACCGCCGAUGCUUUGUGAUACGCUCUCGAAGAGUCGAGUUGUUUGGGAAUGCAGCUCAAAAUGGGUGGUAAAUUCCAUCUAAAGCUAAAUAUUGGCGAGAGACCGAUAGCGAA
RNAcentral lists this ribosomal RNA (245 nucleotides) under Hymenochaete sp. RNAcentral describes it as "partial large subunit ribosomal RNA". It matches the Rfam family "Eukaryotic large subunit ribosomal RNA", at positions 106 to 344 of the family's 3401-position model. The record is from RNAcentral. Lineage: Eukaryota; Fungi; Basidiomycota; Agaricomycetes; Hymenochaetales; Hymenochaetaceae.